AUGCGCAGCGCUGCUGGCCCGCUCUCUGAGGAGCUUUCAAUACUUUGGGGUCAAGUUUGAGGCAGUUGUAACUGUACUGAGUUUAGUUUUGCUAAUAAUGGUAUUCUACGUGUGUCAGCCUCGUGUGGACUUCUGUAAUGACUAAUGGAUAUGUUUAUAUCCUGAGCAUUUGCUGUAGGAAUUUUAAAUGCAAUCCCAAAACUCAAGAUUACCUUAUUUGGAGAAAUAUUCGUGUUACUAUGUUUAAAAUUUAAUAGAACCAUAUUUUACCUUUCACUUUGGGACUCGCACAGGAUGUUUGCAGCUCUUGAUAUACAGGAACUAGAACGUGUCUUUUAAGAGCAUGCGGUUUUAUAAUUACGUGGAAGUAUGCUACGCAAGGGAAAAAAGCCUCUUGCUAGUGUUAAGGGUCUUCAUAAACAGAAACCGCAAGGAACCUGGGAUCUGACAGCUGUUGGAGGAAUGCCUGUGAGGAAGGAGGAGGAACAGAAGAAUGCUUUGAUGUCUUAAAUGGUACAUCCAAACUUAAGUGAAAUAGAGCUGUGAGGACAUUUUGGGGAGAAGUGACCUAGAUAAGCACUGACUGUUGCAUUCAUCUCUCUUCUUGCUGAUUGUGAUGAUUUCCUGUGCCAUAGCCAUUCAAAGUCUGCCAAAAAAGCUAGCAUGUAAUUUUCUUUCUCUACUUCUCUACAUUUGGAGGAUGGAAAUGUAGAUGUUCUUCCAUUGUGCCAGCCUCCUCAUUCUUCUUUCUCCAAUGCCGCAUCUUCCUGCAAACUUCCUGCCACAACUCAAACAACAGGAAAAUAAAUGAUCUGAAAUCCUCCUGAACUGCAGCCUACCUAUCGUGGUCUCUAUGGGUGCAAACUUCCUUCCAGAAGCUUGUUCAGCUGGCUAAAACAGGACAUUUGCCAAUGCAGCCAAAAGUUGGGUCUUAUACUGGCUACCUCCUAUGCAGAGUGAAAAACUUUUCUUUCUCCCACAGCCACAGACAUCGCUCCUCUUCCAGCUCAACAUCUUUCAAAGGGAUGGCUCUCAGUCCCGAAAUGAAAAGAAAAGGUGGCUUGGUGCAAAUCAUUCUCUUUAUCAGCAAAAGAAAUACCAAAGCCUGUGUCCUUCUGACAUAGUGAGCUGUCGAGGUAGUCCAGGGAAAAGAUGACAGUGAAUUGAGUUAUGGGAUGGCAAUGGAGACUGAAAAGAAUCUGUGUUUAUUAUAUGUAUAUAUAUCAUUAAGGUAGAACUAGUGGAUUUUCUCUGGCACUGCACAUGGGAAGCAAGUGAAGGAGAGUGAUCUAGAAUGACGCCACCAUUUUUGCCUGAGAAAUUCAGUACUCAGAGGUGUCUGUCAUUCAGAGAGAUGGAGGAAACAAGAAGAGGAGCAAGUUGGGGGAGAGGGUAAGCAGAAUCAAAAACUGUGUUGAUACAUUAACUUUAGGAUGCAUAGUAGACAUCAGAGUACAGAUGGAGUUUAGGAGCAAAGUUAUAUAGAGAGAUAAAUUUGAGAACCUGUAAUUCUUUUAUUUGUGGCAGAUAAUUAGACAAAUGAUUUCUAAAUAUUCCCAUGACUACUACAGAACAUCAAUAAAUUCCUUAAUAAUACUAGAAGGAGAAAUGUGGUUUAAAUUUUCCCAGGGGUUUUCUAACCUUUCAGCAAUUCUCUUUCUUUUCAGCAAAUGUUUGGUAAUUAUGCUGGAAUAUUGGGGUGGGGGUGCUUUCUUUUUAAGGCCGCUAUUUCUUUAUGUAUUUCUCUGGUCUUUAAGCUCUCAAGUAGAGUCAUCUGAUGUGAUUUCUCAGCUAAUAUGGGCAUUUUAUAACUUGCCCAGAGCCUCAUUGUUUUCAAUUCUGUUUUUUUUCCCCCAUUAG
RNAcentral lists this long non-coding RNA (1860 nucleotides) under Homo sapiens (human). RNAcentral's name for it is "HSALNT0298284". Lineage: Eukaryota; Metazoa; Chordata; Mammalia; Primates; Hominidae. The record is from RNAcentral.